Molecule: long non-coding RNA, 689 nt
Filed under: Hordeum vulgare
Lineage: Eukaryota; Viridiplantae; Streptophyta; Magnoliopsida; Poales; Poaceae
Description: long non-coding RNA (HVUL_LNC012265)
Source: RNAcentral
GCCUAAACAGCAGCAGGUACUUAGGGAUCCAGCAGCAGUACACCAGCAUGGGAUGUCACGGAAGGCAUCAGCAUUCACGAGAGCAGCCACGGGGAGUUGACUAGCGGGGCUGAAUCCAACAGGCAGCAGGCAAUGGACCUCCGAAUCUGGGGACGCCGGCUGAUGGCUGCGUUCCUGCACGGAUGAAGGAGACCAUCCGCAGGAGGAGCAGGCAAGGAUUCCUGCAGAUGUGCGUGAGCAGAGACUCCAGCGGACCCGAGCUGGACGGGAGGAGGUGAAUCCUGAUCGAACGCAGCACUGGAGAAGCUGCACCAGGGGGCGACUUGGACGGGAUAGCAGCAGGGGCAUUGGCCUAAACAGCAGCAGGUACUUAGACGGGAUCCAGCAGCAGUACACCAGCAUGGGAUGUCACGGAAGGCAUCAGCAUUCACCAGAGCAGCCACGGGGAGUUGACUAGCGGGGCUGAAUCCAACAGGCAGCAGGCAAUGGACCUCCGAAUCUGGGGACGCCGGCUGAUGGCUGCGUUCCUGCACGGAUGAAGGAGACCAUCCGCAGGAGGAGCAGGCAAGGAUUCCUGCAGAUGUGCGUGAGCAGAGCAGUAGCAGCAGUCGGAGCACCGACGCAGGAUUGGAAGCGGCAGUUGGCUGGAGAAAGUAGCAGCGGUGGCCGACGCAAGAAUUGGAUCGGAA